UACGGAGGAUGCGAGCGUUAUCCGGAUUUAUUGGGUUUAAAGGGUGCGUAGGCGGAUCGUUAAGUCAGUGGUCAAAUUGAGGGGCUCAACCCCUUCCCGCCAUUGAAACUGGCGAUCUUGAGUGGAAGAGAAGUAUGCGGAAUGCGUGGUGUAGCGGUGAAAUGCAUAGAUAUCACGCAGAACCCCGAUUGCGAAGGCAGCAUGCCGGCUUCCUACUGACGCUGAAGCACGAAAGCGUGGGGAGCAAACAGG
This 252-nucleotide ribosomal RNA is filed under the name uncultured bacterium. RNAcentral's name for it is "partial 16S ribosomal RNA". It matches the Rfam family "Bacterial small subunit ribosomal RNA", at positions 524 to 776 of the family's 1533-position model. The record is from RNAcentral.